UGGGGAAUUUUGGACAAUGGGCGCAAGCCUGAUCCAGCAAUGCCGCGUGCAGGAUGAAGGCCUUCGGGUUGUAAACUGCUUUUGUACGGAGCGAAAAGGUCUGCCCUAAUACGGUGGGCUCAUGACGGUACCGUAAGAAUAAGCACCGGCUAACUACGUGCCAGCAGCCGCGGUAAUACGUAGGGUGCGAGUGUUAAUCGGAAUUACUGGGCGUAAAGCGUGCGCAGGCGGUUAUGUAAGACAGAGGUGAAAUCCCCGGGCUCAACCUGGGAACUGCCUUUGUGACUGCAUGGCUAGAGUGCGGCAGAGGGGGAUGGAAUUCCGCGUGUAGCAGUGAAAUGCGUAGAUAUGCGGAGGAACACCGAUGGCGAAGGCAAUCCCCUGGGCCUGCACUGACGCUCAUGCACGAAAGCGUGGGGAGCAAACA
RNAcentral lists this ribosomal RNA (427 nucleotides) under uncultured bacterium. RNAcentral's name for it is "bacterial SSU rRNA". It matches the Rfam family "Bacterial small subunit ribosomal RNA", at positions 355 to 774 of the family's 1533-position model. The record is from RNAcentral.